This 447-nucleotide ribosomal RNA is filed under the name uncultured bacterium. RNAcentral describes it as "bacterial SSU rRNA". It matches the Rfam family "Bacterial small subunit ribosomal RNA", at positions 355 to 825 of the family's 1533-position model. The record is from RNAcentral.
UCGGGAAUUUUGGGCAAUGGGGGAAACCCUGACCCAGCAACGCCGCGUGAAGGAUGAAGUAUUUCGGUAUGUAAACUUCGAAAGAAUAGGAAGAAUAAAUGACGGUACUAUUUAUAAGGUCCGGCUAACUACGUGCCAGCAGCCGCGGUAAUACGUAGGGACCAAGCGUUGUUCGGAUUUACUGGGCGUAAAGGGCGCGUAGGCGGCAUGACAAGUCACUUGUGAAAUCUCUGGGCUUAACCCAGAACGGCCAAGUGAUACUGUCGCGCUAGAGUGCAGAAGGGGCAAUCGGAAUUCUUGGUGUAGCGGUGAAAUGCGUAGAUAUCAAGAGGAACACCUGAGGCGAAGGCGGGUUGCUGGGCUGAUACUGACGCUGAGGCGCGAAAGCUAGGGUAGCAAACGGGAUUAGAUACCCCAGUAGUCCCUGAGCGGGCUGGCAAGGCGCAU